UGCAUUCUCUUCACUG
RNAcentral lists this microRNA (16 nucleotides) under Xenopus laevis (African clawed frog). Its description in RNAcentral is "xla-miR-5162". The record is from RNAcentral. Lineage: Eukaryota; Metazoa; Chordata; Amphibia; Anura; Pipidae.